RNAcentral lists this ribosomal RNA (467 nucleotides) under uncultured bacterium. RNAcentral's name for it is "partial 16S ribosomal RNA". It matches the Rfam family "Bacterial small subunit ribosomal RNA", at positions 29 to 507 of the family's 1533-position model. The record is from RNAcentral.
AGUGAACGCUGGCGGUAGGCCUAACACAUGCAAGUCGAACGGCAGCACAGUAAGAGCUUGCUCUUACGGGUGGCGAGUGGCGGACGGGUGAGGAAUACAUCGGAAUCUACUUUUUCGUGGGGGAUAACGUAGGGAAACUUACGCUAAUACCGCAUACGACCUACGGGUGAAAGCAGGGGAUCUUCGGACCUUGCGCGAUUGAAUGAGCCGAUGUCGGAUUAGCUAGUUGGCGGGGUAAAGGCCCACCAAGGCGACGAUCCGUAGCUGGUCUGAGAGGAUGAACAGCCACACUGGGACUGAGACACGUCCCAGAUUCCUACGGGAGGCAGCAGUGGGGAAUCUUAGACAAUGGGGGAAACACUGAUCUAGCCAUGCCGCGUGAUCGAUGAAGGCCUUAGGAGUGUAAAGCUCUUUCAGCUCGGAAGAGAAUGACGGUACCAGCAGAAGAAGCCCCGGCUAACUCCGUG